Molecule: long non-coding RNA, 514 nt
Filed under: Phoenix dactylifera (date palm)
Lineage: Eukaryota; Viridiplantae; Streptophyta; Magnoliopsida; Arecales; Arecaceae
Description: long non-coding RNA (PDAC_LNC018400)
Source: RNAcentral
UUUUUCACAAAAAUAACUUAAAAUUAAAUUUUACUAAUUUGUACUUUGGUUAUUUCAGAAUUAAAGUAGAAAAUUAGUCACUAUAAGAAGUUAGGUUGCAAACACGUUUUACAGUCAUACAAAGUCUGAAAGUAAUCUGAUCUAUGGAUGUUGAUGAUGUCCUGACACUAAGGUGUGCUAAUUUAAUAUUUAGAUUUAAUUGGUAGGUAGGACAGGUGUGGUGAAAAAUGUUCUAGGUUUUGCAGUUUGACAAGAAAAUAAGUUUCAAAACAGGGCUGUCAUGCAAGAGAACUAGAACAUAUUUAAAUAAGCAAGUCCAAGGGAGGAAGAACCUAUUACCUGUGGCGGAUACAGCCAAUCAGAAUCAGGUACUCGUGGGCUGGGGCGACGGUCGGGACGCAGUGAGUCGGGUCGUCGGAUGGCGUGAAUCUGGUCGCGUUACAGCAACUGGGGGCCUGCUGAACCUGUCAACUUUGGGGUAUACUGUAUGGUGUGGCUAGCGGGCCUGUAAAUG